This 253-nucleotide ribosomal RNA is filed under the name uncultured bacterium. Its description in RNAcentral is "partial 16S ribosomal RNA". It matches the Rfam family "Bacterial small subunit ribosomal RNA", at positions 524 to 776 of the family's 1533-position model. The record is from RNAcentral.
UACGAAGGGGGCUAGCGUUGUUCGGAAUUACUGGGCGUAAAGGGCGCGUAGGCGGUCCUGAUCGUCGGAUGUGAAAGGCCUGGGCUCAACCUGGGAACUGCAUCCGAUACGGCGGGACUGGAGUGUGGGAGAGGUUGGUGGAAUUCCCAGUGUAGAGGUGAAAUUCGUAGAUAUUGGGAAGAACACCGGUGGCGAAGGCGGCCAACUGGACCACAACUGACGCUGAGGCGCGAAAUCGUGGGGAGCAAACAGG